Molecule: unclassified non-coding RNA, 163 nt
Filed under: uncultured Trichoderma
Lineage: Eukaryota; Fungi; Ascomycota; Sordariomycetes; Hypocreales; Hypocreaceae
Description: sequence contains ITS2
Source: RNAcentral
CAACCCUCGAACCCCUCCGGGGGGUCGUUGGGGAUCGGCCCUUCACGGGGCCGGCCCCGAAAUACAGUGGCGGUCUCGCCGCAGCCUCUCCUGCGCAGUAGUUUGCACACUCGCAUCGGGAGCGCGGCGCGUCCAUUGCCGUAAAACACCCAACUUUCUGAAA